Molecule: transfer RNA, 75 nt
Filed under: Thermus thermophilus
Lineage: Bacteria; Thermotogati; Deinococcota; Deinococci; Thermales; Thermaceae
Also listed under: 6 other names
Description: tRNA-Val(cac)
Rfam family: tRNA
About the family: Transfer RNA (tRNA) molecules are approximately 80 nucleotides in length. Their secondary structure includes four short double-helical elements and three loops (D, anti-codon, and T loops).
Source: RNAcentral
GGGCGGCUAGCUCAGUGGAAGAGCGCUCGCCUCACACGCGAGAGGUCGUAGGUUCAAGUCCUACGCCGCCCACCA